GAUGAGCGCUGGCGGCGUGCCUAAUACAUGCAAGUCGGGCGAACGGACGAGAAGCUUGCUUCUCUGAUGUUAGCGGCGGACGGGUGAGUAACACGUGGAUAACCUACCUAUAAGACUGGGAUAACUUCGGGAAACCGGAGCUAAUACCGGAUGAUAUUUUGAACCGCAUGGUUCAAAAGUGAAAGACGGUCUUGCUGUCACUUAUAGAUGGAUCCGCGCUGCAUUAGCUAGUUGGUAAGGUAACGGCUUACCAAGGCAACGAUGCAUAGCCGACCUGAGAGGGUGAUCGGCCACACUGGAACUGAGACACGGUCCAGACUCCUACGGGAGGCAGCAGUAGGGAAUCUUCCGCAAUGGGCGAAAGCCUGACGGAGCAACGCCGCGUGAGUGAUGAAGGUCUUCGGAUCGUAAAACUCUGUUAUUAGGGAAGAACAUAUGUGUAAGUAACUGUGCACAUCUUGACGGUACCUAAUCAGAAAGCCACGGCUAACUACGUG
RNAcentral lists this ribosomal RNA (497 nucleotides) under uncultured bacterium. RNAcentral's name for it is "partial 16S ribosomal RNA". It matches the Rfam family "Bacterial small subunit ribosomal RNA", at positions 28 to 507 of the family's 1533-position model. The record is from RNAcentral.